GAUGAACGCUGGCGGCGUGCUUAACACAUGCAAGUCGAACGGAAAGGCCCUGCUUUUGUGGGGUGCUCGAGUGGCGAACGGGUGAGUAACACGUGUGUAACCUGCCCUUGACUUUGGGAUAACUUCACGAAACUGGGGAUAAUACCGGAUAGGAGCUCCUGCUGCAUGGUGUGGGUUGGAGAGUUUCGGCGGUUGGGGAUGGACUCGCGGCUUCUCCGCUUGUUGGUGGGGUAGUGGCUUACCAGGGCUUUGACGGGUAGCCGGCCUGGGAGGGUGACCGGCGACAUUGGGACUGAGAUACGGCCCAGACGCCUACGGGAGGCAGCAGUGGGGAAUAUUGCACAAUGGGCGGAAGCCUGAUGCAGCAACGCCGCGUGCGGGAUGACGGCCUUCGGGUUGUAAACCGCUUUGGCCUGUGACGAAGCGUGAGUGACGGUAACGGGUAAAGAAGCACCGGCUAACUACGUG
This 468-nucleotide ribosomal RNA is filed under the name uncultured bacterium. Its description in RNAcentral is "partial 16S ribosomal RNA". It matches the Rfam family "Bacterial small subunit ribosomal RNA", at positions 28 to 507 of the family's 1533-position model. The record is from RNAcentral.